UGGUUCUGUUGUUUCUUGUGAUAAGAUAUCAAAAUGGGAAAAAGUUUAUUUGUGAUCAUGUUGCUUCUUGCUCUUUUUACUACAAGCAUUUUACUUUAUUCUUUUUAUGCUUUUUGCUUAUAUGAGACUUUUAUGACUUACACAGAAGCAAAGACAUGUACAUUGCCAAACACAAAAUAUUCUUGUUUGUCUGAAAAGAAGUGUGAUGAGGACUGCCGAGAUGGACCACCACCUGCUACUGGCGGCAAAUGUGAAAACAUUAACGGGAUUCCUCGAUGUGUCUGUUCCUGGACGUGUAGAUGAACAUAUGCUCUGAAAAGCUACUUAUAAUACCAUGUAAGUGUACACCAGUCACAUGACUUAAUUUCGUGUAUGCCAGCUGUCAUUUCUGAUGAUGUAUUUAAUAUCAAUAAAACGUUUGUGGGUUUUAGCA
Lactuca sativa (garden lettuce) is the source of this 433-nucleotide non-coding RNA. The record is from RefSeq and is a predicted model, not a curated record. Lineage: Eukaryota; Viridiplantae; Streptophyta; Magnoliopsida; Asterales; Asteraceae.